Molecule: ribosomal RNA, 254 nt
Filed under: uncultured bacterium
Lineage: Bacteria
Description: partial 16S ribosomal RNA
Rfam family: Bacterial small subunit ribosomal RNA
Source: RNAcentral
UACGUAGGGCGCAAGCGUUGUCCGGAAUUAUUGGGCGUAAAGAGCUCGUAGGCGGCUCGGUAAGUCGGGUGUGAAAACUCUGGGCUCAACCCAGAGCCGCCACCCGAUACUGCUGUGACUUGAGUUCGGUAGGGGAGCGGGGAAUUCCUGGUGUAGCGGUGAAAUGCGCAGAUAUCAGGAGGAACACCAGUGGCGAAGGCGCCGCUCUGGGCCGAGACUGACGCUGAGGAGCGAAAGCGUGGGUAGCAAACAGG